Molecule: ribosomal RNA, 423 nt
Filed under: uncultured prokaryote
Description: bacterial SSU rRNA
Rfam family: Bacterial small subunit ribosomal RNA
Source: RNAcentral
UGGGGAAUCUUGGACAAUGGGGGCAACCCUGAUCCAGCGACGCCGCGUGGGUGGUAAGGCCUUCGGGUUGUAAAGCCCUUUCACCGGGGAAGAUGAUGACAUUACCCGGAGAAGAAGCGCCGGCUAACUCCGUGCCAGCAGCCGCGGUAAGACGGAGGGCGCUAGCGUUGUUCGGAAUCACUGGGCGUAAAGGGCGCGUAGGCGGCUGUUUAAGUCGAGGGUGCAAGCGCGGGGGUCAACGCCGGAACGGCCUACGAGACUGGGGAGCUCGAGACCGGAAGAGGAGGGUGGAAUACCCAGUGUAGAGGGGAAAUUCGUAGAUAUUGGGUUGAACACCAGUGGCGAAGGCGGCUCUCUGGUCCGGAUCUGACGCUGAGGCGCGAAAGCGUGGGGAGCAAACAGGAUUAGAUACCCCUGUAGUCC